This 125-nucleotide long non-coding RNA is filed under the name Cavia porcellus (domestic guinea pig). RNAcentral describes it as "lncRNA (ENSCPOG00000032468.1)". The record is from RNAcentral. Lineage: Eukaryota; Metazoa; Chordata; Mammalia; Rodentia; Caviidae.
CUGGAAGCUCAUUGCGGCUGAGCUGGCUGCGGAAGUGGGUGCAGAGUUACUGCAAGACUGUACACUGGAUCCCUGGAAACCUUAAUAUUUGACUGCGUAUAGUGCUUUUGGUAGACUGUCCUGAU